CUUCCUCAGUUCCUCCCCAAUCCCAUCGUUGCUUCUUCCUCCCCAAUCCCCACCGAUGGGGUCAAAAAAAAAAAAAUCUCCAGCUCACAUCCUCCGCCCAGGAGCGGGCGGCUCCUCCCCCUCCCAGACCGAGUUCCUCUGCCGUCGGUGGCCGUGGGUGGCUUGCUGCCUGCAGCUCCUCAUGAAAGCUUCUCCUCUCCCGGGCCGCCCUGCUGCCUCCCGAUGGGGCCAUCGACGCGCGUGGCGGCGCGGUGGACGAGCCCGAGGCUUGAUGGCGGCGCGGUGGACGAGCCCGAGGCUUGAUGGCGGAACUCCUCUGUGGAGGCCUUCCGACACCUCCAGCCAAGUCCCCUGCGUCGACGCCAGCAGAGCCCACCUCCUCCAUGCCAGGUCCACAGCACCGUCGCUGCUCUGCGUUGUCUUCAAGGUCACGCGCCGCCUGGAAUGCCCUCGGCAUGGAGGUACUCCACUACUACCCCGCGAGGCCUCAGGAGGGAGUCGGGGUGGAGGCGAUGCCGUCGGCAUGGAGGCAGGAUGACAAGCAGGGAGAGGCUAGGAUGGAGACAACCACGUCGACCACAAUUCCAGCGGCUACGCGGGUCUGUACGCAGGGAGGAUUUUGAUCUUCGCCGGUGCGUCCUCGGCUCCUCGGCUCCACGGCUACCACCAGACGGGUACUCUGGCCACCUGCACGACUUUGACUCCGCUACCAGAUUUGAGCGGUUAAAGGAGUGCGGGGGGUUCAGGUUGAGCACCACCAUGGCAACCCUGCUGGCUUACUCGGUGAUUCUAUUCAUGCUCAACAAGGAAAGGAGACUCCAGGUCCUGAGACGCUUUUGCUGCAGAGAUCGUUCGUUAUACCUAGAAGACAAAGGAAUUGGAACUUUUUUUUGGAUGUCCGCCUGCUAUUAGUAAGUGGCACCCCUGAAAAUAAAUUGGUCGGUUGUUUCUUUGCUUAUCUAAAAAGUAACAAUUCGGAUUCAGGUACAAGUCUUCUAUUGUAUCAAGCAGAUGCAGACAGGACAAACAAUUUCAGGUCACUUCCUUGCAAAGUUUUUGCUUACAAUUAGUGUUAACAUUUUUUGCUACCUAGAUACUUUCAUUAUGAAACCCCUUUCUUACAAUGCCCUGUUUGUAAACAUUAAGUUUUCUAUUUCCAACAAUACUCUGGCCUCUUGGCCUACCUUUGCCUGAUAUUGCUUCUUCACAUGUUCUCAUGGGUUCUUCAUUGGUUGUGCAUGUGUUGUCGGGGGGUGGAAGCACGAAGAGGAGAGAUCUGUUUGCGCAAGCUGCCGGUCGACAAUGUGCUUCAUGGUCGCACUGUCAGGUAUUAUAAGUCUCCCUCAACUUUGUUUCUCCAGAAAAUAUACAAGAGUGUAUCAGGCUAAAGGGCAUAGAGUGAAUAAAGAGAAGCUAGAGAUUGCAGGCUUCAGACCUGAUGGUUGCAUUUUACUACUUAUAAAGUUUGCUUGGACUGAGUGAUGUUAAGUUUUGGGGUGACCAAAAAAUCUCAAUCAAAAAAAGUUCUUUUUUACACUAUUUUCUUAUAUUGUCUAGAUAAACUGGCCUAACUUUGCGGAAGAAAUUGCUUCCUCUUCAUCUGUUGGUCUAGGUUCUCUUUCUGAUGCAGAAACUCGGGGGCGUGAGCUUUCAUUGGGAAAGAGGCUGGUUGUUGAUACAUCUCAUGGUCAUGCUGAUUUCGGUAGCAUUGGAAUAUAUUCCUGAGCUCAUGUUUCUCAUGGGUUAUUUGCUGUACAGGCUGCCGGUCUGCCGAUUCAGUGAACAGUCUUCUCAUCGUUCUCCUGAUUUCCUAUUGACUUUGGUGAUUGAGUUUUUCGUGUCUGAUGAUGCCUGGCUGUAAGGUUUUUUACUCAGGAAGAACUAUCUGAGGUGGUGCGAAUUUUAUGAGGCAAUGAAGACAGGCCCAAAAGCUAGAGAAUUAUAUUGCUUGAAUCUGAGAUAACCACGCUAUCAAAGAUAUCACUGACAACUAGAUUUUGAUUCUCCCCAGUUUUCCUUAUGAUAAUUGGACUUGCUUUUUUGGUAGAAAUCCUUCUAGAGCCGACUCAUUCAAAAAUGAUAGGCACUGUUGCUCUCACAUAUUAUUUUUCUAGAUGUCAUGAAGGAUUAUCAGACUGUAUGGAACUGAACUGUUUACUUCUAUUUGGAAUUGGGCCUUCAGUCUAGGUUGGCCUCUGUGUACAAAUCAUAAUAGUACCGGAAGCCAUUCCUCGGUUGCUACCACUCUUUUCGUUACACUUACACAUGUUUAUGUCCUACCCUCAUACCCUGUACUUACACUUUAUGCCAUUCAUAACUGCUUGGCUAUUAGCUAAAUAAAUAUGAAUAUUUGUAUAGCACAGAUCAUGAUAUUUCUUUAUAAUAUUACUAAAUAUCUCAUUUGCAUCAUUUGGCAGAUUAAGUGAUAAAUAACGUUGGCAUGUACGUCUCCUUUUGGGUCAUUUUUACCAUUGCUAAAUGCUCAAGCUUUUAGAUUUUCUCCUUACUUUGGGCUGCAACAAGAUCCACUGCUAGCUUCUCAACUAAGAAUAGAAUGGGUACAAUGAAGCAUGUGCACGGCGUGCAGAGUUCUGUCUUGAUCGGGAUUGACGCCCAACACUCACCAGAAGUCUUGGUGGGAUAAUGUUCUAGAUGAGGAUAGGGGGCGAGAACUGAAUUGAUGAUUGACGUUUGCACUACAGACCAGAACUUACAUUACCGGUGCAUAUCUCAAACAAAUUGACUGCUCGGUUCAUAUACCUUUACCAUGAGACACCAGAGGAAAUCGUUGCCCUUUUCUCCAUCGACUCCAUCGAUAAAAACGACAACGCUAAUCACUGAAGGCCCCAAAGCAGACCAAUAACCAGCCAUUUUACUUUCAUCCAAGCUCAUCUCACGACAUUGUCUCAAUCAAUGUCAUCUCACGGACGCGGCGUGCCGCCGCGCUGCAACUUCCUAGUAGCAUGCAAUGGGCACAGGCCAUUGCCGUUUAACGACCUCCACUCGAGGGGAAGCGGUUCCUAAGCAGCUGCUUGUGUCGUUGUUUUUUCUUUCGGUGACUCUGGAUCUUGUAUGAUUGUGUUGCUUAUAAAGCAGAGCGAAAGCCUACCAUUAUAUUAUAGUCUAUAUAAA
Lolium perenne is the source of this 3132-nucleotide non-coding RNA. NCBI's taxonomy places the organism in Eukaryota, Viridiplantae, Streptophyta, Magnoliopsida, Poales, Poaceae. The record is from RefSeq and is a predicted model, not a curated record.